RNAcentral lists this unclassified non-coding RNA (847 nucleotides) under Hevea brasiliensis (rubber tree). The record is from RNAcentral. Lineage: Eukaryota; Viridiplantae; Streptophyta; Magnoliopsida; Malpighiales; Euphorbiaceae.
UGCGGUAACUCUAUUAAAGCCUGAAGCCCUGAACCAUUUCAACACAUCACUAGUAUUAAACAAUGCAUCAUAGUAGACAAGCAUAGACCCUUUGCAUGUUGCUUAGCCCGUUUUCAAUAAAAUAACUUGCCAAUAAACAUUAUAAAAGCCAUUAGCUUCAUUCCAAAAUCUAACAACACUACAGCUAAAGACUCUCCGGUGCUCUAAACAUUUGAAAUGACAAAUGAUCUAUUCCAGGUUGCCACAUCUUGUCAUAAGAGACAGCUGACAGCUCAAGUCAACAUACCGCAAGAUGUUCACCACACAAAAUUGAUUAGCGACCAGGAACUCGAAUGAUUGAGAAAUUUAUAACUUGUAACGCCAAGAAUCUGCAAACAAGACUGAUGGAUGACAUCGCCUGGCUGAAAAUGGCCCUUCUCUUAACUCACUAUUUCAACCAAUAUGUCCUCUUCAAAUUCCAGUCCAUGCUGAAAAAACCCAACACUGAACACACCCCCACUAUGAAGCUCAGGCGAUGAGUGGACAUGUGACUCCACCUUAAAACUCGAGCAUCUCCUCCUGUACAACACAAGGGCAAAUACAGGGGGAAAAUGAUUAUGACAUCCUCAAAGUGUCAACUACCACUACGAUUAUCGCUAUCCAUUUACGAAGAGAUCAACCCAAGUGGCUCAUAGCUCCACAGCUAUCAGUAAAUCCUCUCUGUAUGCUUUACUUGUCAUACUAAAUCAAGCAUAUCUAAAUUCUAGAUUCCCUUUACAAUCUUUUUCCUAGUCAAAAAGGCCAAAAUGAAUGAUAGGCUCAACUGCAAUCAAACAACAUACAAACUUUAAAAGCUCAAUAAAUUAAA